AACGAACGCUGGCGGCAGGCUUAACACAUGCAAGUCGAACGCCCCGCAAGGGGCGUGGCAGACGGGUGAGUAUCGCGUGGGAAUCUACCCAUCCCUACGGAAUAACGCAUGGAAACGUGUGCUAAUACCGUAUACGCCCUACGGGGGAAAGAUUUAUCGGGGAUGGAUGAGCCCGCGUUGGAUUAGCUAGUUGGUGGGGUAAAGGCCUACCAAGGCGACGAUCCAUAGCUGGUCUGAGAGGAUGAUCAGCCACAUUGGGACUGAGACACGGCCCAAACUCCUACGGGAGGCAGCAGUGGGGAAUAUUGGACAAUGGGCGCAAGCCUGAUCCAGCCAUGCCGCGUGAGUGAUGAAGGCCUUAGGGUUGUAAAGCUCUUUCACCGGAGAAGAUAAUGACGGUAUCCGGAGAAGAAGCCCCGGCUAACUUCGUG
Molecule: ribosomal RNA, 431 nt
Filed under: uncultured bacterium
Lineage: Bacteria
Description: partial 16S ribosomal RNA
Rfam family: Bacterial small subunit ribosomal RNA
Source: RNAcentral